UCAAUAAGCGGAGGAAAAGGACCUUCUUGAAAGAUGGACAACGGGUUGUAAUUUGGAGACCGAACUUCGUGCAAAACCGCCUUCCGAGACCACUGGAAGGUGGCGCCAGAGAGGGUGAGAGCCCCGUAUUGUUGGAACCGCGCAGGUGUGAAGUUCCUUCGACGAGUCGAGUAGUUUGGAAAUGCUGCUCUAAAUGGGAGGUAAAUUCCUUCUAAAGCUAAAUACCGGCCCGAGACCGAUAGCGCACAAGUAGAGUGAUCGAAAGAUGAAAAGCACUUUGAAAAGAGAGUCAAAUAGCACGUGAAAUUGUUGAAAGGGAAGGAACUGUGACCAGACUUGCGCCGCGCGGRAUCUCCCGGUGUUCUCACCGGUGUACUCCGCGCGGUUCAGGCCAGCAUCGGUUUUGGGCGGGGGACAAAAGCAGCGGGAACGUAGCUCCCCCGGGAGUGUUAUAGCCUGCCGCGGAAUACCCCGCCGGGACCGAGGGCCUGCGUUUUCUCGGAUGCUGGCGUAAUGGUCACUGAUCACCCGUCUUGAACACGGACCACUGUUUAUCAAUAAG
This 562-nucleotide ribosomal RNA is filed under the name Telimena sp. RNAcentral's name for it is "eukaryotic LSU rRNA". It matches the Rfam family "Eukaryotic large subunit ribosomal RNA", at positions 43 to 664 of the family's 3401-position model. The record is from RNAcentral. Lineage: Eukaryota; Fungi; Ascomycota; Sordariomycetes; Phyllachorales; Telimenaceae.